Molecule: long non-coding RNA, 210 nt
Filed under: Musa acuminata (dwarf banana)
Lineage: Eukaryota; Viridiplantae; Streptophyta; Magnoliopsida; Zingiberales; Musaceae
Description: long non-coding RNA (MACU_LNC004615)
Source: RNAcentral
AUUUUAUAAAAAAUUAGGAAACAUAUAAAAUUAAAUUUAUAUACUAAUUUUUAACUUAAAAUAGAAUCAUUUAGAGGCUAAACAAUCCUCCUAAGUUACUACUGAUAUUUAUUCUGUUGUGUUGAAACUGGGUUGGGACUAUUUGGACUUAUAAACUUAAUAUCUUGGUGCACAAAAGUAGUAUUCACUCAAUUAUAAAUCUCACAAAAC